UUGUUCCUACGGGACGCAGCAGUGGGGAAUAUUGCACAAUGGGGGGAACCCUGAUGCAGCGACGCCGCGUGAGUGAAGAAGUAUUUCGGUAUGUAAAGCUCUAUCAGCAGGGAAGAUAAUGACGGUACCUGACUAAGAAGCCCCGGCUAACUACGUGCCAGCAGCCGCGGUAAUACGUAGGGGGCAAGCGUUAUCCGGAUUUACUGGGUGUAAAGGGUGCGUAGGGGGCAGGGCAAGUCAGAUGUGAAAGCCCGGGGCCCAACCCCGGUACUGCAUUUGAAACUGUCCGGCUGGAGUGAAGGAGG
This 305-nucleotide ribosomal RNA is filed under the name uncultured bacterium. RNAcentral describes it as "bacterial SSU rRNA". It matches the Rfam family "Bacterial small subunit ribosomal RNA", at positions 333 to 655 of the family's 1533-position model. The record is from RNAcentral.